RNAcentral lists this long non-coding RNA (5378 nucleotides) under Sus scrofa (pig). Its description in RNAcentral is "lncRNA (ENSSSCG00050037472.1)". Lineage: Eukaryota; Metazoa; Chordata; Mammalia; Artiodactyla; Suidae. The record is from RNAcentral.
UUUUUUUUUUUUUUUUUUUCUUUUUUGGUUUUUUUGUCUUUUAGGUCCGCACCUGCGGCAUACGGAGGUUCCCAGGCUAGGGGCUGAAUCAGAGCUGUAGCCGCUGGCCACAGCCAGAGCCACAGCAAAGCGGGAUCUGAGCUGCAUCUGUGGCCUACACCACAGCUCACAGCAACACCAGAUCCCUAACCCUCUGAACGAGGCCAAGGAUUGACCCUGCGUCCUCAUGGAUGCUAGUUGGUUUCAUUAACCACUGAACCACAACAGGAACUCCUCUGUGGAUAGUUUUUAUGAGGUAAAAUUUUCAGUUAUCAAGUGGGUUCUGGACUUGAUUAAUAAAGGGGUGAUAAGCAUUAUAAAGACUGUGGCAGAGUAACUGCUUUUGAGUGCACUGGGAACUUUCAAAAAGGAAAUUAAUGAGCCCGGGACAGUUCAUUGCCACUUUAAGGCACACAGGGAAAGCCAGAGGGCCUGUUUGGUAGCCUUAACGUUUUCGUCUCCUACCCCUGCAAGUCAGAUCAUGCUGAAAAUCAGAUCAAAGAUCUGAUUAUAAAAGUCAGAACUACAAAGGAUACUAAAUGUGCAGCCAAAAUAAAUAUCUCAUGUCAUUGCCAGAGCCCUGGUGGAAAAAGAUUGGGCUUCUGAGGCUCAGGGAGGGGACGGUGGGUAAACGAGCUUCCGAUUCUUGAAUCUCAACAUUCCUCAGAAUUACCCCCUCCCUGUAUACCAGAAUAAUCAGUGACUUUACCUGCAGUAAAUGCCUCAUGAUGGGAAGCUUGGUCUUCUUAAGAUCCGCUUCUACUGAUUUUACUGUUCCCAGGCUGAUAACCAGGGUCAGAUCCCAGCACAGCCUGAGUGGGGAAUUACAGCCCCCACUCUGGGAGGAAAUUGCCUAUGCCCCAAAUAAAUUUUAGGAACUGGCUGAGUUGUACCAACAGGAAUCAGGAAACUUAUGUGGGAGGGGACCUUUAGGAUAUUAGACUAGGAGAAGGGGCAGAAUAUGGGGCUAAUGGAUGAGUGCACACCCCUGUGACCCACAAAUUCUGAAAAGGGCAGUUGAAGCCAAUCUAGUUACCUAGAAUGGGUCCUUGAAACUUGAACACGACAAUGGCCUACCAUAACAAUGUAAUAAUGUCAGAACUGCUAUGGCAGAAUAUUGAAAAAGCCAAAAAAUUUAGGGAAAUACUAACAGUGGAAUGGACAUAGGAUGUAAGACCUGAAAACCCAUAGCCUGACCUUGUGCUCCUAGAGGACACAGACAGUGGCUCAUUCACUAGAGAUUUCACUAGUGGGAAGGGAAGUGGCAUCUUCGAAGGCUGAGUUGACAAUGAGGAAUAUUGCCACGGAAUGAGGCUUUCUGCUAUCUUUAGGAAUGAUGGGAUUCUGAAAUGGCAAAAAAAAACAAAAAACACGUGGCAGCACCUAAAACCAGGGACAAGAGGCCUGAUUACUUUAAUGUGCAGAAGGCCAGAGUGGCAUUCAGGGCAUCUUGACCUGCAGGAAUUUGUGGCAUUGGCUAGUGGACUUUGGUGUUCAUGGUGGUUAGGCAGAUGGAUAAGAGUAUGGCUCAGUUUUUAUAGUGAAAAAGUACCGAUAGCUGGAGAGCAAAAGGCUAAUACCUGUUCCUCAUCCAGUUUUGGAUCUAAGUCAGCUCACAAAUCCUUAGACCAGUGAUGGAGGGAUUGAACCCUCUUACAGAAGGAGCCUGCAAUUGGAGAUGGUAAUUCUCCAAUCUUUCCCCAAACAGACAUGUUGCCUUUUGCCAUGGUAGUGAUACCCUGGGGGGGAAGUCUGUGGGUCCACCCCUUGUUCAUUUCUCUGAUGAUAACUGAUGAUAACUUUGGCUAGAAUACAGAAAUGGGAUGAAUAUCUUUAAGAGAUCCUUCACAUUGGUUCCCUGCCUGAUGGGGGAAAAGUCAUUUUUAUAGGAAGGGCCAUGGAAGCUGUCCUUUGUCCUGGCCAAGGCAGUAAAUCAGAAGUAGUAUGUCAUUUCGAGAGGAAUUACAGAAAUUAGUGAUACUAUUGAAGACUUAAAGAAUGCAGGGAUCGCAUCUCUAUUCAAUUCAUUUUUCUAACCUUUGUAAAAACCAGACACAUCUUGGAGAAUGGUGGUGGAAAAUUACUGUGCACUUAACCAGGCGGUAGCACCAAUUGCAGCACAGCUGCCGUGCCAGUUGCAAUAUCUCUGACACUUGAUAUGUGGCUGUUGAUAUGGUGAAUUAUUUUUGCCUUUAUUCCUAAUAAUAGGAAGGUCAAAAACAGUUCUCUCUUAUGUGACAAGGAAAGACCUUCUCUAUUGCCCUUCUGUUGAGAGAUGCAUUUGAACAAAAGAGGUAGGUGCUGGGGGUUGGCUGGACCACCUGUUCAUGUCAUUUACUUGUGCCAUCUGGAUUUGGUCAGGCCAAAUCCUAAAUGUAUCACUUUUAUCAUACAGUGGAUGACUGCUGUAUCCACCCAACCCUAUGACUCAUUGGCUCUGAUAAUACUCAGAGCAUAAGGAACAUUUGUGGUUACAUAGUCACUUGGUGUUCCAUGGUCAGGCAUUUAGUCUUGGGUAGAGCCCAGAAGCAAGGCACGGGCCUUGCUGCAGGACUCUGGAGUCUGCCCUGCAUCUCCUACUGAAGUUUGUUUAAAAGCCCACAGCAUCACUCUCUGCCACUAGAUACUUCUAGUACUCUGGGAAAUGCUGGGUCCUAUAGUCUAAGUGUUGGGGAAGCCUGCACAAACUGGGGAGCCCGUUUUGUCUCUGAGCCUCACUGGAAACUCUCAUCCCUCUGAGUCACCCAGUAGGACUUGGACUUGGCUCUAGAAAGAUGAAAAUAAAUGUCAACUCUCAUCAAAAAUGAGCAGUUGCCACAUUACAGCCCCACUUAGAGGUGGCCCCCAGAAGUAGUGGUGGAGGAAAUCCUCCCAGUGGGCAGAGUUAAUGUGUGGAAGUGCCAGCUCCUUGUCAAUAGUGAAUGGUUCAGCUUAUUGAUCAGGGAUCUGGAAGGAAAAAGACUACAGUCCGUAUACCACCUCCAGUGUCCUAACCCUGCGAGAUGUCUCUGAUCUGGCCUUCUAGCUGACAUUUCACCAGGCCAUUCCACCAUUUUUUAUCAGGCUGGUCAUCCCCGAGUGACAAGGGACAUGAGAGACUGGGCAUCUUUGGUUUAAACCCAAUGUGCCAUACCUGCUUGGUAGUAAAAUGUGCUCUUUGGUUUGGUUGUAACGUAGUAUAGGAUUCUCUGGUGAUAACUCAGGCAUUUUGUCAGCCCUUAGAUGGUGGUAGAUGGUGGUAGAGACGCCAAAUAAAAUCAGAAACAAAGAAGUCUGGGGAAGAAGUACAUGAAUGAGUAGGGAGUAGGCACAAAAUAUCUAGUUGACAUCAGCUAGCCUCUGUCCUUGGCCUCAGACAUGCUUGUAGAAUGGGCCAUGAGUAAAUUAGCCACUGUGGCAGGAAUGGAGGCCCCUAAAUGUGAAGUCCUUUUCUUCCAAGCUGCCCAAGUUUUGAUGCUGAAGGCCUAACAUACAAGCAGCAGGGGCUCUUCUGAGCCCUUGAUAUGGCCCAAUUCAUGGGGAGAUGAGCUAGCCUCCUGGUGGCAAGUAGAUGAUGUCAGACUCCGUCCAAUUUGGAAAGUCCUUCUUCCUCACUAGAAUCACCACCUACUCAAGUUAAAAGUUUGUUCUACCAACAGUGCCUCCACCACCACCAUCAUCUGAGAGGUGACAGAUGUCUUGAUCUAUAGGACAUAUGAUAUCCCACACUACUUUGUGCUAGGCCAGAGAGAAUAUUUUACUACAAAGCAAAUACAAAACAUUAGGCUAAAAACAGUUUUCCAUGUCCUUCAUCACCUAGGGGUGACCGGCCUGAUAAAAAUGGUGAAAAGUCCUGGGGAAGUCUCAACUAAAAGGCUAGCUCAGGGACACCUCAACACUAGGUGCAGGACACACACAGCACCAGAGCUGAUCGACAGUGCUGCCACGCGUGGGUCCAGACACCAAGGGGUGGAAGCAGCCUGGGCCUUCUCACCCUCAGUCCAAGUAGAGAUGCAGAAUUUUAGCUUCCUGUUCCUGCCACGUGGAUUUUGCUGGGUUAUAAAGAAUCUGACUAGUAUCCAUGAGAAUUCAGGUUUGAUGCCUGGGCUCACUCAGUGGGUUAAGGAUCCGCCAUUACUGUCGCAUGUGUGGCUCAGAUCUGACGUGGCUAUGGCUGUGGUAUAGGCCGGUAGCUGUAGCUCCAAUUUGACUCCUAGUCUGGGAACUUCCACAUGCUGUGGGGGUGGCCUUAAGAAAAAGACAAUAAAUAAAUAAAUAAUAGUAGUGGAGGAGUGAGAUGCUAAGUGUAUAUUUUGACUGUUGGACCAGCUAUGGCAGUGGGGACUAGAGCUUGGUUUGCUAAACCUCUUUAGGUCUUUCAAGGAGAUUGCAACUGAACAUUUCCUGAAAGAACUGGACUUGUAUCUCCCCUCUCAGGAAAGAAAUGAGGACGAUUUAUUCCUUAUGAGAUCUGAAUGUUGUAAGCAGGUAUGAACAUGUCUGAGGGGCAGGAGGGGUGGAGGUACCAGACCCAGUGAGUACGCUAGUGCACAGCUCCUUGGCCCAUUUACACCAAUGGCCUUGCACACUUGCCAUGCUUCCUGGCCAACACAGCCCUAACAACAACUCAUACUGUUGUCUUAGUUGUAAAGCUGUGCCUACAACCACUGCCACCAGCACAUACUGUGAGCCCCCGUGCACAGCAGUGACUGCCAGGGAGAGACCACCUUCACUACACACUCACUGGUCUAGACGCGUGGAGACCAGCCUCCCCCACAGCUGUGAUGGGAGCCAAGAAACACAACUGGGGGAUGCACAGGGGUCACAGCUUGUGAGCGAGCAAACAGGGAAAAGAAAGAAGGUGAACUGCUGCCCUUCCACCCCCAUCAGCAGGUGGUUCUAAGAUACUGUAGUUCUGCACCUCCUAUCUCGAGAGGUGCUAUCCCACAAAACAAUUGGUUGUGUUUUCUGUGAGGCUGUGGCACCCUGAGGCCAACUCCCCUCCUACUGCAUCUACCCCCACCCCCAGCCUCACUUCCCUUUGUUCACCUUCCUCGUUUCCCUGGAACUGCACUCUUCCCAGGUGAGUUAUAGCGUGUAUGUUUUUGCCCAAGCCUCUGUUUUCUACAGAACCUGGGCCGAGACACAGGGCUUCUUGGAAAAACAAGUUUUUACCGGUCUGGAGAAAGAAAUGUAUGCAACAAACCUGGGACUAGUGGUCUCAUAUCAGAAGGACACAGGAGCCAAUUUGAAGGGGCUCCCCCUGGCCAAAUAUAGCACAAUUUAGGCAUCAAAAGAAAUAUUGACUGUAGUGGUUUUAAACACAUCAAAUAUUUUUCAAAUCAUGAAUUCUUAAGGAU